This 723-nucleotide ribosomal RNA is filed under the name Haloferula phyci. RNAcentral describes it as "bacterial SSU rRNA". It matches the Rfam family "Bacterial small subunit ribosomal RNA", at positions 110 to 834 of the family's 1533-position model. The record is from RNAcentral. Lineage: Bacteria; Pseudomonadati; Verrucomicrobiota; Verrucomicrobiia; Verrucomicrobiales; Verrucomicrobiaceae.
GUAACACGUGAGUUACAUGCCCUGCAGAGGGGAAUAGCCCGCCGAAAGGCGGAUUAAUACCCCAUGGUCCCGCGAGGGUAAAGGUGGCUUCGGCUGCCGCUGCAGGAUUGGCUCGCGUCCUAUCAGCUUGUUGGUGAGGUAACGGCUCACCAAGGCGACGACGGGUACCUGGUCUGAGAGGACGAUCAGGCACACUGGAACUGAGACACGGUCCAGACACCUACGGGUGGCAGCAGUCGAGAAUAAUUCACAAUGGGCGAAAGCCUGAUGGUGCAACGCCGCGUGGAGGAUGAAGGCCCUAGGGUCGUAAACUCCUGUCAUUUGAGAGUAAGACCUGGCGGUGAACAGCCGACAGGGUUGAUAGUAUCAGAAGAGGAAGGGACGGCUAACUUCGUGCCAGCAGCCGCGGUAAUACGAAGGUCCCGAGCGUUGUUCGGAAUCACUGGGCGUAAAGGGAGCGUAGGCGGUCUGGUAAGUCAGAUGUGAAAUCCCGGGGCUCAACCCCGGAACUGCAUCCGAUACUGCCUGACUUGAGUAAUGGAGGGGUAACCGGAAUUCUCGGUGUAGCAGUGAAAUGCGUGGAUAUCGAGAGGAACACUCGUGGCGAAAGCGGGUUACUGGACAUUUACUGACGCUGAGGCUCGAAGGCCGGGGGAGCGAAAGGGAUUAGAUACCCCUGUAGUCCCGGCAGUAAACGGUGUGCGCUUGGUGUGAGGGGUUUCG